Pseudonaja textilis is the source of this 287-nucleotide non-coding RNA. NCBI's taxonomy places the organism in Eukaryota, Metazoa, Chordata, Lepidosauria, Squamata, Elapidae. The record is from RefSeq and is a predicted model, not a curated record.
CUAAAUACCAAUCAUUAGAUUAGAAAUGGGGGAAUACACACUGAAGAUCAAUGACAGUCACAGCCAUCAUGGAAACCUAAACCAUUCUGUCUGAAUACCUUCCUUUUCAUCAGCAAUACCUGCAACCCAGAGUUACAAAUCAAGCAGGCUGCCAGAGUACCUUGAGGAAUUAAAAUAGUUAAAGUGCAAUGAUAAUUAUCAGCAGCCAAGUCUUGCUCAUAAAGUGUAACCCUUUAGCAAAGAAAAGAGGUCAUUUAAGCUCUCCAGAAAAAGCAAACCCAGGAAAA